AUACGGAGGGUGCAAGCGUUACUCGGAAUCACUGGGCGUAAAGCGCGCGCAGGCAGCUAUUUAAGUUGGAUGUGAAAGCCUACGGCUCAACCGUAGAACUGCAUCCAAAACUAUUUAGCUAGAGUGUGGGAGAGGAAGAUGGAAUUAGUUGUGUAGGGGUAAAAUCCGUAGAGAUAACUAGGAAUACCAAAAGCGAAGGCAAUCUUCUGGAACACUACUGACGCUGAGGCGCGAAAGCGUGGGGAGCAAACAGGAUUAGAUACCCUAGUAGUCC
This 274-nucleotide ribosomal RNA is filed under the name uncultured bacterium. RNAcentral describes it as "partial 16S ribosomal RNA". It matches the Rfam family "Bacterial small subunit ribosomal RNA", at positions 523 to 796 of the family's 1533-position model. The record is from RNAcentral.